GAUGAACGCUGGCGGCGUGCCUAAUACAUGCAAGUCGAGCGAACGGACGAGAAGCUUGCUUCUCUGAUGUUAGCGGCGGACGGGUGAGUAACACGUGGAUAACCUACCUAUAAGACUGGGAUAACUUCGGGAAACCGGAGCUAAUACCGGAUAAUAUUUUGAACCGCAUGGUUCAAAAGUGAAAGACGGUCUUGCUGUCACUUAUAGAUGGAUCCGCGCUGCAUUAGCUAGUUGGUAAGGUAACGGCUUACCGAGGCAACGAUGCAUAGCCGACCUGAGAGGGUGAUCGGCCACACUGGAACUGAGACACGGUCCAGACUCCUACGGGAGGCAGCAGUAGGGAAUCUUCCGCAAUGGGCGAAAGCCUGACGGAGCAACGCCGCGUGAGUGAUGAAGGUCUUCGGAUCGUAAAACUCUGUUACUAGGGAAGAACAUAUGUGUAAGUAACUGUGCACAUCUUGACGGUACCUAAUCAGAAAGCCACGGCUAACUACGUG
This 497-nucleotide ribosomal RNA is filed under the name uncultured bacterium. RNAcentral describes it as "partial 16S ribosomal RNA". It matches the Rfam family "Bacterial small subunit ribosomal RNA", at positions 28 to 507 of the family's 1533-position model. The record is from RNAcentral.